RNAcentral lists this ribosomal RNA (459 nucleotides) under uncultured bacterium. RNAcentral's name for it is "partial 16S ribosomal RNA". It matches the Rfam family "Bacterial small subunit ribosomal RNA", at positions 338 to 795 of the family's 1533-position model. The record is from RNAcentral.
CCUACGGGUGGCAGCAGUGAGGAAUAUUGGUCAAUGGCCGAGAGGCUGAACCAGCCAAGUCGCGUGAGGGAAGACGGCCCUACGGGUUGUAAACCUCUUUUGUCGGGGAGCAAAGCGAACCACGUGUGGUUCAUUGAGAGUACCCGAAGAAAAAGCAUCGGCUAACUCCAUGCCAGCAGCCGCGGUAAUACGGAGGCUGCGUGCGGUAUCCGGCUUUAUUGGGUUUAAAGGGUGCGCAGGCGGAGGUGCAAGUCCGCGGUCAAAUUGCGGGGCGCAACCCCGUACGGCCGUUGAAACUGCAUCCCUUGAGUGAGCGAGAAGUAUGCGGGAUGCGUGGUGUAGCGGUGAAAUGCAUAGAUAUCACGCAGAACUCCGAUUGCGAAGGCAUCAUACCGGCGCGCAACUGACGCUCAUGCACGAAAGCGUGGGUAUCGAACAGGAUUAGAUACCCCUGUAGUC